This is a long non-coding RNA of Triticum aestivum (bread wheat), 534 nucleotides long. RefSeq lists it as uncharacterized. Lineage: Eukaryota; Viridiplantae; Streptophyta; Magnoliopsida; Poales; Poaceae. The transcript is spliced from 3 exons. The record is from RefSeq and is a predicted model, not a curated record.
UUUCAGUAACCUACUUUCUCACAUUAGAAAUAGAUUCAGACAAGCUGUUAAUUUGUAAACUUCUUUACUUUGUUGCAUAUAAAAGGUCCAUCAUUUGUUUUGGAGGGUGGUAAUUUUCUACACCUAAGUCCACAUCAUCUAUUUUUAUCUCAUGCGGAAACACUGCACCUUUUGUGCCCUCUCUCGAACAUAAUUGACUGAAGCUUUGGUAUAGCGUUUUACUUACAGUAUUUCUACUUUCCUUGUUUGCUUACAAGCUGUUUUUUCUUUUUGACUCUGAUGAAUCCCCCAGGCCAUUUUUAAGAACCCGUUCAGGAGGGGUGACAACCUCCUUGUUAUGUGCGACUGCUACACACCACAAGGUGUUCCAAUCCCCACCAACAAGAGGCACAAUGCUGCCAAGAUCUUCAACACCUCGAAGGUUGCAGCUGAGGAGAGAUGGUAUGGAAUUGAGCAGGAGUACACUCUCCUCCAGAAGGAUGUGAACUGGCCCCUUGGCUGGCCCGUUGGUGGCUACCCUGGUCCUCAGGCAAG